CAGUUGCAUCAGGAGAGACCAAUUGGUCCGGCAACCGGGGCGAGCCCACGGUGCCACUCACCUUCGGGUGGGGAUGUGGCUUUACCUUUUUGGUAAAGCAACGGCCGAGCCAGUU
This 115-nucleotide non-coding RNA is filed under the name actinobacterium acAcidi. RNAcentral describes it as "Actinobacterium acAcidi SAM-I-IV sequence". It matches the Rfam family "SAM-I/IV (S-adenosyl methionine) riboswitch aptamer". Rfam says of the family: It is found upstream of a number of genes which code for proteins involved in methionine or cysteine biosynthesis. The record is from RNAcentral. Lineage: Bacteria; Bacillati; Actinomycetota; Actinomycetes.